CACGUUCAGUUCCAGUCAUGUCAAAUUGUCGAAGAAGCAAUACCUGGAAUUGGAAAUAGAGCUACACCUCUAACUUUUAUUAUUUGAGAUUUGAGUGGUGGGAGCACAAAUACACCAGUGGAUGAUAUGCAAUCCGCCUAGUCCUUGAAUGCACUCUGAUGUUUGAGACACACACAUCCUGUAAAAUAGUACCAUACUUAUGCCAUUUUUAUGUAAUCUUGUAUAGGAUACUUCAAGUUAAGUGACAUUAAAUACCAGUACCAUAUAAUUUGUCCUAUCAAAAGGCUGUGAUAUCAUAUACAAGCACCUUUUCCUUUCAGGUCUGUUAAUCUAGGAAGCAUAUGUAUCCUUCUAUUCUAUAUCAGUGUUAGAUCUUCAGUCUUGUUAAUCUCAUCUUGUGUUCUAGAUCUCUGUUCUAGUGGUAUGGUAGAGCUAGCCUGAAUACAUGUUGUUUCACUGCUUGGCAGGAUCAUUGAGAGGACAAGAUAAUAAGUCAUAACUAGAUGAAUGAGAAAACAAUUUUGUAUUGUUUUAUCAUUGGUUAUUGUGCGUGCAAUUUUACUAGUUUCUUUGGUCUGAAAGCCUUACCAUCAUUUUCGUCUUGCAGACGGCAAUGGCAAGAGCAUAUUGUGAAGAGGAAGAGGAUGAGAAGAAACGUGUGGUUCUCAUCCAAUCUUUGUGGAACUCUCUUUAUGUGUGAUUGUGCAUUUGUUGGAACCUUUCUCUAUGCACUUGCACUUGCAGCAGUAUUCUGUUGUGCACAUGUAAAAUUAUUUUGAUGUGCCCUUGUUAGGCGUUGAACCUUAAUGCGUGGAGUCGGUGGAUGAUGUAUUGUAUUUGAUGUAAUAUGCUACUGAAAUGAAAUAUAUAUUUUAUUUGCAAUAUUUUAUUCUGUUGUAUUUAUUUUUAAUGAGCC
Molecule: long non-coding RNA, 916 nt
Filed under: Hordeum vulgare
Lineage: Eukaryota; Viridiplantae; Streptophyta; Magnoliopsida; Poales; Poaceae
Description: long non-coding RNA (HVUL_LNC006342)
Source: RNAcentral